UGGGGAAUAUUGCACAAUGGGCGAAAGCCUGAUGCAGCGACGCCGCGUGAGGGAUGGAGGCCUUCGGGUUGUAAACCUCUUUCAGUAAGGGUGAAGGCUCUCUUUUGUGGAGGGUUGACAGUACUUGCAGAAGAAGCGCCGGCUAACUAUGUGCCAGCAGCCGCGGUAAUACGUAGGGCGCGAGCGUUGUCCGGAAUUAUUGGGCGUAAAGGGCUUGUAGGUGGCGUGUCGCGUCUGCUGUGAAAUUCCAGGGCUUAACUUUGGGAUUGCAGUGGGUACGGGCAUGCUAGAGUGCAGUAGGGGAGAUUGGAAUUCCUGGUGUAGCGGUGAAAUGCGCAGAUAUCAGGAGGAACACCGGUGGCGAAGGCGGGUCUCUGGGCUGUUACUGACGCUGAGGAGCGAAAGCGUGGGGAGCGAACAGG
Molecule: ribosomal RNA, 422 nt
Filed under: Verrucomicrobiota bacterium
Lineage: Bacteria; Pseudomonadati; Verrucomicrobiota
Description: Verrucomicrobia bacterium partial 16S ribosomal RNA
Rfam family: Bacterial small subunit ribosomal RNA
Source: RNAcentral